UAUGUGAUCGUCUCUCGCAUAUCAAUAAGCGGAGGAAAAGAAACUAACAAGGAUUCCCCUAGUAACGGCGAGUGAAGCGGGAAGAGCUCAAAUUUGAAAUCUUAAAGGGUUUCCCUUUACGUAUUGUAGUUUAAAGAAGUGUUUUCUGUUGAGGUUUUGGUAAAAGUUCUUUGGAAUAGGACAUCAUAGAGGGUGAGAAUCCCGUAUUUGACCUUUACUUUCAACUUUGUGAUACACUUUCAAAGAGUCGGAUUGUUUGGGAAUGCAGUCCAAAAUGGGUGGUAAAUUUCAUCUAAAGCUAAAUAUUGGCGAGAGACCGAUAGCGAACAAGUACCGUGAGGGAAAGAUGAAAAGAACUUUGAAAAGAGAGUUAAACAGUACGUGAAAUUGUCAAAAGGGGAAGCGUUUGACACCAGUGUUGUUUUUCUGAAAAUCAAUUAAAGAACUGUUUAUGCUAAGUUGUUUAGACUUUAUCAGCUAACUGUUUAGUUUUGAGCUUUUCUUUAAUGCACUUUUCAGUUAACAAGUCAACAUCAAUUUCUUUUGCUGUAAAAAAGCUUGAGGAAGGUGGCUUGAGAUUCGUCUUAAGUGUUUAUAGCCUCUUGCCUAUGCAGUCGGAGAGAUUGAGGUCUGCAGCGUAGAUCCUUCGGGGCUAAAUGCAUUUGUGCUAAGUUAUAGCAUUUUAUAGACAACUUGUUGACUAUGAUUUGUCUUGUAGCUUACUCGCUUAUGUUAUUUUACCUACGCUUAGGAUGUUGAGUAGCGACAUACGCAC
RNAcentral lists this ribosomal RNA (775 nucleotides) under uncultured Neocallimastigales. Its description in RNAcentral is "partial large subunit ribosomal RNA". It matches the Rfam family "Eukaryotic large subunit ribosomal RNA", at positions 24 to 648 of the family's 3401-position model. Lineage: Eukaryota; Fungi; Neocallimastigomycota; Neocallimastigomycetes; Neocallimastigales. The record is from RNAcentral.